CAAGGUUUGCUCGGUGUGACAUCGACCAUUUCCUGUUGCUUACAAGAUGCAGAGCUCUCAGCUACUUCUCCAGCACCACGUCUGCCUGCGUGCCGCCAUGGUCCACCAUGAUGAUAAUGGACUGAACCUCUGAACUUUUGGGAUUCAAGGCGAUGAGAUGGGGCUGCCCACAUGCUUCCCGUCUUAGAUGACUCUCCCGGGAAGUGGACUCACAGACAGACAUGCCCAGGGACAACCGUCCUAGGCGGAUGCAAAGCAGAUGGAAGGCUGGCCUUGCCUGUGGAGUGCUCUCCAGCCAAAUGAACCACCCACAGCUGAACCCCGAAAGCCUGAGGCUCUGUGAUACCUGGUGCUACAGCACACUGGAAGGAGCUGAGAAACUGAAGACAGACAGUUCUUAGGGGGUCUGGAUCCUUUGCCUUCCCCUGCCACCUGCUUGAAUAAAGUUGGAAGUUUUCUUUCUCAGAGAUACUGAGCCCCAAGGGCUCUGGGCAUCACCUCAGAAUACACAGAGGAGAACAGGAAUGGGAUCCAGGACUCUUGCUGGAAAGUCCUCGCUGCUGAUGAUCACUGCAUCCAAGUGUACAUCCUACGGGAAGGAAGGCAAGGAUUUCCCCUGGGAGAACCAGCAGACAGAAAGAAAAGACUGCUUCAGGCUCCCACCCUGAGAAACCCGCACCACCACUAGGUUGCAGCCAACUUGCUUCCCCAGCUCACGAGUCCUCUAGCUACGCCUGAAAGCAAUCCACAGUCAGGUCUGGGAUCUGAGGAUUCAAUAUGAACAGGCUGCUUUCAGGCAUCAGCAUCUGAAUCAACAUGAAAGAGAUUCGGGUCAUUCAAGUGGGGAAGAGAGAUUUAGUAGAAAUGGGAAUGAUGCAGGCAACAGAACAAGACCUUGGAAACACACAGAAAAAGAGAACAUUUAAUAUUCUUAGAGAGUUAAGAGAUGUUCAUUCAUCAAAAGCAGGAUGCUUUGAUUCAGGGACCAUCAAAGAACAAGAAAAAAAGAGCCUAGAGAAGUUAAAAAAUAGAAGAACUUUUAAAUGAACAAAGUGGGACUACCUCCCAGGAAAUUAACAACAAAAAAGAGGUGUGGCCAAUAGUGAAGUCAUACAAAAUGAAAGCAUUGAUCGCAAGGGCUAACAUUUACUGACAGGGAUUCCAGAGACUAAAGAGAGGAAAAGUGAAGAAAUGAUACCAGAAAACUUCCUAUGAGUUUGAAAAGAUCCACACCAGUUUCCACCACUUGACAUUUCAAAGUGUGGGCGCAAAGAAGACUCCAAGUAUCUCCUUAGAGAGACAACUACCGGCUCCAUUCAAAUAGGAAUGGGGGUGACAUGGAACUUCAAGCUGCACCUUUGGGUGCCAGAAGACAAAAGAAAGGAAAUGAUGAUGUGUUUCUGUCUUCAGAGUCGGUUCAUUGAACCAAAAUGAUUAAUGUGUCUGUAUUGAGAGAAUAGAGGGAAGAGAACAGGAGGAAGUGUCAUAGUCUUCUAUGAAGUGAUAUCUGUUGUAGAAUGUGAUUUUGAGGUGUGUUACAUAUUUUUAUGCCCUGAAACGUUUGUUUAAUGAUACAAAGAUGUGCUGCA
Long non-coding RNA from Peromyscus maniculatus bairdii (prairie deer mouse), 1589 nucleotides. RefSeq lists it as uncharacterized. The record is from RefSeq and is a predicted model, not a curated record. Lineage: Eukaryota; Metazoa; Chordata; Mammalia; Rodentia; Cricetidae.